RNAcentral lists this ribosomal RNA (429 nucleotides) under bacterium. RNAcentral's name for it is "partial 16S ribosomal RNA". It matches the Rfam family "Bacterial small subunit ribosomal RNA", at positions 355 to 776 of the family's 1533-position model. The record is from RNAcentral.
UAGGGAAUCUUCCACAAUGGACGCAAGUCUGAUGGAGCAACGCCGCGUGAGUGAAGAAGGUUUUCGGAUCGUAAAGCUCUGUCGUUGGUGAAGAAGGAUAGAGGUAGUAACUGGCCUUUAUUUGACGGUAAUCAACUAGAAAGUCACGGCUAACUACGUGCCAGCAGCCGCGGUAAUACGUAGGUGGCAAGCGUUGUCCGGAUUUAUUGGGCGUAAAGCGAGCGCAGGCGGAAGAAUCAGUCUGAUGUGAAAGCCCUCGGCUUAACCAAGGAACUGCAUCGGAAACUGUUUUUCUUGAGUGCAGAAGAGGAGAGUGGAAUUCCAUGUGUAGCAGUGGAAUGCGUAGAUAUAUGGAAGAACACCAGUGGCGAAGGCGACUCUCUGGUCUGCAACUGACGCUGAGGCUCGAAAGCAUGGGUAGCGAACAGG